GAUGAAGAACGUAGCGAAAUGCGAUACUUGGUGUGAAUUGCAGAAUCCCGUGAACCAUCGAGUCUUUGAACGCAAGUUGCGCCCGAAGCCAUUAGGCCGAGGGCACGCCUGCCUGGGCGUCACACGUCGUUGCCCCCCCAUCUACUCCUUCGGGAUUGCGGGGGGCGGAUGAUGGCCUCCCGUGCGCCUCGUCGUGCGGUUGGCAUAAAUGCCAAGUCCUCGGCGACGCACGCCACGACAAUCGGUGGUUGCGAAACCUCGGUUGCCCGUCGUGUGCGGUCGUCGCGCAUCGAGGGCUCGAAAAAAUUGCCGGGCUCCGGCUCGACUUUCAACGCGACCCCAGGUCAGGCGGGGUUACCCGCUGAAUUUAAGCAUAUCAAUAAGCGGAGGA
This 391-nucleotide unclassified non-coding RNA is filed under the name soil metagenome. RNAcentral's name for it is "partial contains 5.8S ribosomal RNA, internal transcribed spacer 2, and large subunit ribosomal RNA". The stretch from base 1 to 122 matches the Rfam family "5.8S ribosomal RNA", at positions 35 to 154 of the family's 154-position model. The record is from RNAcentral.